This 201-nucleotide ribosomal RNA is filed under the name Helotiales sp. RNAcentral's name for it is "partial large subunit ribosomal RNA". It matches the Rfam family "Eukaryotic large subunit ribosomal RNA", at positions 82 to 279 of the family's 3401-position model. The record is from RNAcentral. Lineage: Eukaryota; Fungi; Ascomycota; Leotiomycetes; Helotiales.
AGUAACGGCGAGUGAAGCGGCAACAGCUCAAAUUUGAAAUCUGGCUCUUUCAGGGUCCGAGUUGUAAUUUGUAGAAGAUGCUUCGGGUGUGGCUCNGGUCUAAGUUCCNUGGAACAGGACGUCAUAGAGGGUGAGAAUCCNGNAUGUGACUGNCUNCCUUCGCCUAUGUGAAGCUNUUUCGACGAGUCGAGUUGUUUGGGA